AAUCGGGCAAAGGUUUCCCAAUUAAGCUGGGAAACCGAGGGGGGGAAGGGGCAUAAUCAAAAAAAGGCGGGAAAAGGGGCCUUCGGAGCCCUGGCAAGGCCCUCCAAACCCACGGUUUUGUUUAAGGCCUUCAUUUGCCUCGGGUCUCGACGCCCUUUACGGGGCGCCGCCGUCGGCCUUCAAGCGCUUUCGAGUGCCCGCCGCCAGGCCCAAUCUAAAAUUCUUUGUAAACCCAGUCUUUCUGAGAGUAAAUUUAAUACUUCAAAA
Molecule: unclassified non-coding RNA, 267 nt
Filed under: plant metagenome
Description: partial contains small subunit ribosomal RNA and internal transcribed spacer 1
Source: RNAcentral